UACGGAGGGUGCAAGCGUUAUCCGGAUUCACUGGGUUUAAAGGGUGCGUAGGUGGGCAAGUAAGUCAGUGGUGAAAUCUCCGGGCUUAACCCGGAAACUGCCAUUGAUACUAUUUGUCUUGAAUACUGUGGAGGUCAGCGGAAUAUGUCAUGUAGCGGUGAAAUGCUUAGAUAUGACAUAGAACACCAAUUGCGAAGGCAGCUGGCUACACAAAUAUUGACACUGAGGCACGAAAGCGCGGGGAUCAAACAGG
Molecule: ribosomal RNA, 253 nt
Filed under: uncultured bacterium
Lineage: Bacteria
Description: partial 16S ribosomal RNA
Rfam family: Bacterial small subunit ribosomal RNA
Source: RNAcentral